CUGGGCAUAGGCAGUAAUAUAAGGCAAGAUGGCUAAGGAAGAAGGUGGGCAGCGGAGCCGGUGAAGGAAGCCGCAGGCGCGGAUGGAGGCGAAGAGAUCAGGAGCAGUAAAGGAACACUCUCUUCCCCAGUCAGCUGGGAUACGGAUUUUGUAAGGCCUAGGGACUUUGUCUUUGGAGGUCCUGUCUCCAUAAGGCUUCCCAAAACAAAGAAUGUUCAGAUUGGACUGGCCUUAAAAUGCAGUAUUUAAAACAGCAACAUGUCUGACAGAUCCGAGAAAUGAAAUACGUCCAUUUCUUUUGGCAAGGAGCAGAAGGCAACAUAAAGCAGCUGCAAGAAUUAAUUCAUGGAGAUAGUUGACAUUUUCGAGCUGACUGCCUCUUAGAGAAAAUGAUGUCAUUCUCCAGCAGCCUAAUGACAGUCAUCAGCCUGAGAGGACACAUGCUAAUAAGACUAUCACCAGCAAAGAAUUUUCUGAGCAAAUGUGUACUGGAGACCUUCUGAGGAACCCACUAGAGCCUGCACAUCCCCUUUUCCUAGCAAGGUCAACUGGAAAACAGUGUUCUUUCCAAGAUAACGUGCAACUUUCCUUUGGAAUGAUCAGCAGAAUGUCAAAUAAGGAAAGGACAUGUAGAGUUCAUGGGAGGAGACAUUACUUCUGGCUGCAGAAUUAUGGAGGCUUUAUGGGAGACGCCGUAUAUUUUAUCUGUGCGCCUUGAUCACGUGUCUGACCAUGGACAGAGAAACCAGCCUAAUGAGCCUUCUUUACAGGAAGCCCCAAGCUGUUUUCCAAAGUGGUUGUACCAUUUUACAUUCUCACCAGCAAUGUACCAGGACAAUAUCAACUCUGCCACUUGAAACCAAGGCUUCUAAUGACAUGAACUGAAGGAAAAGUCUUGAUUUCAGAUUUUUGUUUGGCCUGUUUCAUCUCCAUUUGCCGACCCUGGAUUACGCAGAUAGUGCACUGCUUUUAGUAAUCUAGGCCCUUGUGCCAGACCUUGACUGUCAUACUGCAUUAUAACUGAUGGUUCAAAUGCUUCUUUUACAUAAGGAGUAUUUUCUUCCCAGAGAUACCUCUAAGAUAUUCAUGGCUAACUAAAAAUACUCCUGAAUGCUGUUCUCAAGUAGAGUUUCAAGGUCAACAUGAAAAUUGUUAUCACUCUCUUAUGUGACAUAAAAAAAUCUGUUUUAUCUUUGUAACAAUGCUUUCAUUAAAAAAAAAAAAAAGCUUUGCAAUUCCUCUGCUACACUAGUGUUUUCUCAGAUACCAAACAGGCUAUGCCUUGAUGGCAAGAAGAACAAGUUAUGAUUAUUUAUAUGCCAGUGUGCACUUGUU
RNAcentral lists this long non-coding RNA (1335 nucleotides) under Homo sapiens (human). Its description in RNAcentral is "long non-coding RNA NONHSAT203093.1". The record is from RNAcentral. Lineage: Eukaryota; Metazoa; Chordata; Mammalia; Primates; Hominidae.